AACGAACGCUGGCGGCGCGCUUAACACAUGCAAGUCGAACGAGAAGGCGUAGCAAUACGCUUGUACAGUGGCGAACGGGUGAGGAAUACAUGGGUAACCUACCCUCGAGUGGGGGAUAACCCGCCGAAAGGCGGGCUAAUACCGCGUACGCUUCCGAUCUUGCGGGAUUGGAAGGAAAGCUGUCCCUUGGGGAUGGCGCUCAAGGAUGGGCUCAUGUCCUAUCAGCUUGUUGGUAGGGAACGGCCUACCAAGGCAUCGACGGGUAGCUGGUCUGAGAGGACGAUCAGCCACACUGGCACUGCGACACGGGCCAGACUCCUACGGGAGGCAGCAGUGAGGAAUAUUGCGCAAAUGGGCGAAAGCCUGACGCAGCGACGCCGCGUGGGGGAUGAAGGUCUUCGGAUUGUAAACCCCUUUCGGGAGGGAAGACGGCCUUAGACAACUAAGGCGGACGGUACCUCCAGAAGCAGCCACGGCUAACUUCGUGCCAGCAGCCGCCGUAAC
RNAcentral lists this ribosomal RNA (504 nucleotides) under uncultured bacterium. RNAcentral describes it as "bacterial SSU rRNA". It matches the Rfam family "Bacterial small subunit ribosomal RNA", at positions 29 to 524 of the family's 1533-position model. The record is from RNAcentral.